Molecule: long non-coding RNA, 498 nt
Organism: Daucus carota subsp. sativus
Lineage: Eukaryota; Viridiplantae; Streptophyta; Magnoliopsida; Apiales; Apiaceae
Exons: 3
Source: RefSeq, a predicted model, not a curated record
UCUGUUGGAAUGCUUAUCGGAGGCAUGAAGUCUCCUCAUGGAAGAAAUUUGCAAUGAACUUUGACUACUGUACAACAUCAAGUGCUGAAUUUGUCUCGCUGGACGAGCAGACUCUUACCAAUAUUCUUAAGGUGGGUUCUUAUUUCCAAAAUAUGAAGGAGUCCUAGUUCAGUCAUUUGUUUUUUCUAUUUCUGAUGAUUAGGUUGCUUUGGAGCUUAAGGGUGAUGGAAAACUGACCACAUCUGAUGAUCUUCCUGCUGUAUUUGGUUGUCUGAAUAAGAAUUCAUUGAAAAGGCCAUACCUCUGAUCACCAAGAAAAGUGUUUGAAUAGCUUGUUGAUUCAUUGCUUGACAUUGUCUUCGAUGCAGAGAAGAUGAAUCGUAUGCUUCUAUGUAGGAACUUAACGUCUUCGCUUAGAGAGCCUUGAUUAUAUCCAAGUAGUUUUUACACUCUUAAUUAUAGUAACUUAAUUGUUGUUGAAUUGUCGAAUAUAUGGAU